Non-coding RNA from Danio rerio (zebrafish), 73 nucleotides. The record is from Rfam. NCBI's taxonomy places the organism in Eukaryota, Metazoa, Chordata, Actinopteri, Cypriniformes, Danionidae.
GCCCCAGUGGCCUAAUGGAUAAGGCACUGGCCUCCUAAGCCAGGGAUUGUGGGUUCGAGUUCCAUGCGGGGUG